This 983-nucleotide long non-coding RNA is filed under the name Corvus moneduloides (New Caledonian crow). RNAcentral's name for it is "lncRNA (ENSCMUG00000019681.1)". Lineage: Eukaryota; Metazoa; Chordata; Aves; Passeriformes; Corvidae. The record is from RNAcentral.
GGCAUUUUACUUGGAUAGAUUUACAAUGGCUUUGAAAUCUCAUUGGGAAUGUUUCAUUUUACAGCACAUCACUUUGGAGGAUGUUUCAAGAAGGGUAGAAGCACCUCAGUGGAAGAAAGAGUGGUUUACUGAAGUAAAUGGAACCUUUCAAGAGGACACCUUUAUAAUGCCAGAGAUAGGGAGAAAACGCAGAAAGUACUCAGACUGAAAAAGAUGUUCAGAAAGAAAAAAAAAAUUCUCUUCCAGGAAAUAAGGAAAGACGACUCCUUAAUGCUUCGCCUCAGUUAGUUGUCCUUACUUCCCAUUCUCCAUCCGACUUGUCCUUGCAACUUCUGAAGAGAGCACACUGCAGAAACAAGUGGCUGGAGAGACUCUUGCCACUGAGGCAGAGCAGCUUUGACUUAAGGCUUGCAGUCUGUAGGAAGAAAAAUAGCCUGGAAUAUCAGUGGCCAUUGUGUGUGAGCCAAGGGGCUCAGAUUGCUGUUGGCUUGGGGAUCUCUGCACCACACUGUUUCCCUCAUCUUGAUAGCCACAGUCGUUCAGCCCUUGUCUUCCCUGACUGGUAACUGUGUAAAGGACAUUUAUGAGCUGUACACACAUCAAAUGCUUUCAGACUGUUGAGGUCAGAAAAAUACAGCAUGAUCAUUUCUCUUACCCUCUUCCUUUGCCAUAAUUUAUUAUUUAUAUUAAUGUUUCUUUUCAAAUGCUAUGUUGUUGUUGAAUUAAAUAAUUGGUGGAGGUGAUGCUGGAAAUACAACAAAAUAUUAUUUUCGUGUGGAUUGAAGGCAAAUUUGGAGACUGGUGCUCUACAGACAUGCAAUGAAGGUAAUUAUAUCUUUAAUCUUUUAUUUUAAAACCUAGCAAUAAACUAAGGAAAGAGGACAUUGAUAUGCAAGAACUUGAUGGGGUGAAAGCAAGGAAUACAGAUAACCAGAAAUAUUAUGCAUAAUUAAGAAAAUUGCUAAUGAUCACUUUAAUCAAUG